This 317-nucleotide long non-coding RNA is filed under the name Elaeis guineensis (African oil palm). RNAcentral's name for it is "long non-coding RNA (EGUI_LNC002532)". Lineage: Eukaryota; Viridiplantae; Streptophyta; Magnoliopsida; Arecales; Arecaceae. The record is from RNAcentral.
UGGCUCCAUGCAAUGCAAUUUUUGUAAAAAAUUAAUAUCUAAUUAAUUAUUUAAAUUAACAUCCAAUUAUGAGAUAUCGUAGAAUAUGCACUCUGCCCUAGUGCGAGGACUUGCUGCCCUAGACAUCGGCCAGGACUCGAGGCCCAAGCACGUAGGGCACGCCUCGAUCCUGUGUUUGUAAUGUUACCAGGUACCUUCCAUCGGUUUGAGCACGCAGGGCACACGAGGGCUGGAUGCCUUAGACGCCAGUUGGGACCUGAGGCCCAAGCAUGCAGGGCAUGCCCUGGUUCUGUGUUCACAAUGCUGACCAGCACACC